CCCAGGGGAUUCGGCGGCCUAAUCGCCCCGGGCGCCCCAGCGCGCCCCGGACCCAGGCGACCGCCGGAGGCACCAAACUCUGAAUCUACUGUGGAUCUUCUGAGUGGCAUAAGCAAAUAAAUCAAAACUUUCAGCAACGGAUCUCUUGGUUCUGGCAUCGAUGAAGAACGCAGCAAAAUGCGAUAAGUAAUGUGAAUUGCAGAAUUCAGUGAAUCAUCAAAUCUUUGAACGCACAUUGCGCCCGCCAGUAUUCUGGCGGGCAUGCCUGUCUGAGCGUCAUUUCAACCCUCGGGACCCCGUUCGCGGGACCCGGCGUUGGGGAUCAGCCCGAAGCCCCCAGGGCGGGCGGCUGGCCCCGAAAUCUAGUGGCGGUCCCCCCAGCGACCUCCUCUGCGCAGUAGUUUGCACAACCGCACCCUCUCCUGCGCAGUAGUUUGCACAAG
RNAcentral lists this ribosomal RNA (443 nucleotides) under uncultured Trichoderma. RNAcentral's name for it is "eukaryotic LSU rRNA". The stretch from base 126 to 279 matches the Rfam family "5.8S ribosomal RNA". The record is from RNAcentral. Lineage: Eukaryota; Fungi; Ascomycota; Sordariomycetes; Hypocreales; Hypocreaceae.